This 23-nucleotide non-coding RNA is filed under the name Cricetulus griseus (Chinese hamster). Lineage: Eukaryota; Metazoa; Chordata; Mammalia; Rodentia; Cricetidae. The record is from RNAcentral.
ACUCAGACUGGAAAGGCGGACGG